This 178-nucleotide unclassified non-coding RNA is filed under the name plant metagenome. RNAcentral describes it as "partial contains small subunit ribosomal RNA, internal transcribed spacer 1, and 5.8S ribosomal RNA". The stretch from base 1 to 54 matches the Rfam family "Eukaryotic small subunit ribosomal RNA", at positions 1778 to 1831 of the family's 1831-position model. The record is from RNAcentral.
GGAGGUAAAAGUCGUAACAAGGUUUCCGUAGGUGAACCUGUGGAAGGGCCAUUCACAAUUGUGUAUUUACGGUGCUUUAAAAUCCAUAUCCACCUUGUGUGCAACGUUCUGAAAAGCAAUUGCGAAUUAACUUAAUUCAAAAUAAAUACAACUUUCAACAACGGACCUCUUGGCUCUC